UGAAGAGUAAAAAUACGUUCGUUAAGUGUUGGCUGAACGGGGAGUUGUCAGUCAGACGAAAAGCGUGUGCUUUUAGCAUCGGCUUGCGGUUCGUAUUUUGCAUCCCGCUUCA
Molecule: non-coding RNA, 112 nt
Filed under: Hominimerdicola alba
Lineage: Bacteria; Bacillati; Bacillota; Clostridia; Eubacteriales; Oscillospiraceae
Also listed under: 1 other name
Description: Ruminococcus albus THF-I sequence
Rfam family: THF (Tetrahydrofolate) riboswitch aptamer
About the family: THF riboswitch presents a pseudoknot that joins P1-P2 and the loop of P3 and two THF binding.
Source: RNAcentral